GUACCGUGAGGGAAAGAUGAAAAGAACUUUGAAAAGAGAGUUAAACAGUACGUGAAAUUGUUGAAAGGGAAACGAUUGAAGUCAGUCAUACCAACGGGAAAUCAACCUUUUGAGCUUGGUCUCGUGGGUUUUGAAGAGUUUCAAAGCCUUCGGAUUCGCGAGAUUGGGAUCUCUCGGUGUACUUUCUCGUACGGUUAGUCAACAUCGGUUUUGAAUGUCAUAAAAUGACUGGAGGAAUGUAGCUUCGAUCUCGUAUUGAAGUGUUAUAGCCUUUGGUAGAUGUGAUGUUUGAGACCGAGGAUUGCAACGGAUACCCUUCAGGGCUAUUCGUCUGAUCUCUGAUACGUUGCCCUGAUGUUGAAAGCUUGCUUAUGAUGUUAGGGUAUUACGGUCAAAAGGUUAGAACGAAUUACAUUCGUUAAGG
Molecule: ribosomal RNA, 424 nt
Filed under: Funneliformis mosseae
Lineage: Eukaryota; Fungi; Glomeromycota; Glomeromycetes; Glomerales; Glomeraceae
Description: eukaryotic LSU rRNA
Rfam family: Eukaryotic large subunit ribosomal RNA
Source: RNAcentral